AGAGAGAGAGAGAGAGAGAAAUUUUACCAUGUGUGGACGAAGACGAUUGUUGUCAAAGGAUAGAUUGAGUCGGUGAAAUUGUGCUGGUUUUGUAGGAAAGUCGCACAAGUGCCACUCAUCCUUCUCUCUCUUUCUCUGUGGCUGUUCCGCGUUCGUUCGAGUUCUGCUCGCUCGUAACUCCUUUCUAAACUCAAAUAUUUUAUUCAUUAUCCUCUUUAACGGUUUGAUAAUUAUUGUAAAAUCAUAUUAUCAUUACUGUUGUAAUGCUUUAUAGCUAAA
RNAcentral lists this unclassified non-coding RNA (279 nucleotides) under Hevea brasiliensis (rubber tree). Lineage: Eukaryota; Viridiplantae; Streptophyta; Magnoliopsida; Malpighiales; Euphorbiaceae. The record is from RNAcentral.